Molecule: ribosomal RNA, 253 nt
Filed under: uncultured bacterium
Lineage: Bacteria
Description: partial 16S ribosomal RNA
Rfam family: Bacterial small subunit ribosomal RNA
Source: RNAcentral
GACGAACCGUCCAAACGUUAUUCGGAAUCACUGGGCUUAAAGGGUGCGUAGGCGGCCCGGAAAGUUGGGUGUGAAAUCCCUCGGCUCAACCGAGGAAUUGCGUCCAAAACUACCGGGCUUGAGGGAGACAGAGGUAAGCGGAACUUAGGGUGGAGCGGUGAAAUGCGUUGAUAUCCUAAGGAACACCAGGAGCGAAAGCGGCUUACUGGGUCUCUUCUGACGCUGAGGCACGAAAGCUAGGGGAGCGAACGGG